ACUCUAAGCGGUGGAUCACUCGGCUCAUGGGUCGAUGAAGAACGCAGCAAACUGUGCGUCAUCGUGUGAACUGCAGGACACAUGAACAUCGACAUUUUGAACGCAUAUCGCAGUCCAUGCUGUUAUGUACUUUAAUUAAUUUUAUAGUGCUGCUUGGACUACAUAUGGUUGAGGGUUGUAAGACUAUGCUAAUUAAGUUGCUUAUAAAUUUUUAUAAGCAUAUGGUAUAUUAUUGGAUAAAUAUAAUAAUUUUUAUUCAUAAUAUUAAAAAAUAAAUGAAAAACAUUAUCUCACAUUUGAAUGUGAAAAACGAAGAGAAAUAUUUUCUUUUUCAAUCAAAUAAUACUGAGAAAUGUCUAGCAUAAAAAAUUGAAAUAUUUUUCAUCUAGAAUUGUCUCUUAUUAAUGAUUCGGAAAUAGAAAAAUCUUGGUUAUGUUAUUAUUCUUCGUUGGUUCGUUAAAAAUGGAUAAAUAAAAACUUUGCAUACAAGAAUUAAUAAAAAUGUUAUAACGAAUUUAAUUAAAUGUUUUAUCAUUAUAUAUAAAGAAUUUAUGGCAAGAUAAAGUUAUAUACAACCUCAACUCAUAUGGGACUACCCCCUGAAUUUAAGCAUAUUAAUUAGGGGAGGAAAAGAAACUAACAAGGAUUUUCUUAGUAGCGGCGAGCGAAAAGAAAACAGUUCAGCACUAAGUCACUUUGUCUAUAUGGCAAAUGUGAGAUGCAGUGUAUGGAGCGUCAAUAUUCUAGUAUGAGAAAUUAACGAUUUAAGUCCUUCUUAAAUGAGGCCAUUUACCCAUAGAGGGUGCCAGGCCCGUAUAACGUUAAUGAUUACUAGAUGAUGUUUCCAAAGAGUCGUGUUGCUUGAUAGUGCAGCACUAAGUGGGUGGUAAACUCCAUCUAAAACUAAAUAUAACCAUGAGACCGAUAGUAAACAAGUACCGUGAGGGAAAGUUGAAAAGAACUCUGAAUAGAGAGUUAAACAGUACGUGAAACUGCUUAGAGGUUAAGCCCGAUGAACCUGAAUAUCCGUUAUGGAAAAUUCAUCAUUAAAAUUGUAAUAUUUAAAUAAUAUUAUGAGAAUAGUGUGCAUUUUUUCCAUAUAAGGACAUUGUAAUCUAUUAGCAUAUACCAAAUUUAUCAUAAAAUAUAACUUAUAGUUUAUUCCAAUUAAAUUGCUUGCAUUUUAACACAGAAUAAAUGUUAUUAAUUUGAUAAAGUGCUGAUAGAUUUAUAUGAUUACAGUGCGUUAAUUUUUCGGAAUUAUAUAAUGGCAUAAUUAUCAUUGAUUUUUGUGUUUAUUAUAUGCACUUGUAUGAUUAACAAUGCGAAAGAUUCAGGAUACCUUCGGGACCCGUCUUGAAACACGGACCAAGGAGUCUAACAUAUGUGCAAGUUAUUGGGAUAUAAACCUAAUAGCGUAAUUAACUUGACUAAUAAUGGGAUUAGUUUUUUAGCUAUUUAUAGCUAAUUAACACAAUCCCGGGGCGUUCUAUAUAGUUAUGUAUAAUGUAUAUUUAUAUUAUUUAUGCCUCUAACUGGAACGUACCUUGAGCAUAUAUGCUGUGACCCGAAAGAUGGUGAACUAUACUUGAUCAGGUUGAAGUCAGGGGAAACCCUGAUGGAAGACCGAAACAGUUCUGACGUGCAAAUCGAUUGUCAGAAUUGAGUAUAGGGGCGAAAGACCAAUCGAACCAUCUAGUAGCUGGUUCCUUCCGAAGUUUCCCUCAGGAUAGCUGGUGCAUUUUAAUAUUAUAUAAAAUAAUCUUAUCUGGUAAAGCGAAUGAUUAGAGGCCUUAGGGUCGAAACGAUCUUAACCUAUUCUCAAACUUUAAAUGGGUAAGAACCUUAACUUUCUUGAUAUGAAGUUCAAGGUUAUGAUAUAAUGUGCCCAGUGGGCCACUUUUGGUAAGCAGAACUGGCGCUGUGGGAUGAACCAAACGUAAUGUUACGGUGCCCAAAUUAACAACUCAUGCAGAUACCAUGAAAGGCGUUGGUUGCUUAAAACAGCAGGACGGUGAUCAUGGAAGUCGAAAUCCGCUAAGGAGUGUGUAACAACUCACCUGCCGAAGCAACUAGCCCUUAAAAUGGAUGGCGCUUAAGUUGUAUACCUAUACAUUACCGCUAAAGUAGAUGAUUUAUAUUACUUGUGAUAUAAAUUUUGAAACUUUAGUGAGUAGGAAGGUACAAUGGUAUGCGUAGAAGUGUUUGGCGUAAGCCUGCAUGGAGCUGCCAUUGGUACAGAUCUUGGUGGUAGUAGCAAAUAAUCGAAUGAGACCUUGGAGGACUGAAGUGGAGAAGGGUUUCGUGUGAACAGUGGUUGAUCACGAGUUAGUCGGUCCUAAGUUCAAGGCGAAAGCCGAAAAUUUUCAAGUAAAACAAAAAUGCCUAACUAUAUAAACAAAGCGAAUUAUAAUACACUUGAAUAAUUUUGAACGAAAGGGAAUACGGUUCCAAUUCCGUAACCUGUUGAGUAUCCGUUUGUUAUUAAAUAUGGGCCUCGUGCUCAUCCUGGCAACAGGAACGACCAUAAAGAAGCCGUCGAGAGAUAUCGGAAGAGUUUUCUUUUCUGUUUUAUAGCCGUACUACCAUGGAAGUCUUUCGCAGAGAGAUAUGGUAGAUGGGCUAGAAGAGCAUGACAUAUACUGUUGUGUCGAUAUUUUCUCCUCGGACCUUGAAAAUUUAUGGUGGGGACACGCAAACUUCUCAACAGGCCGUACCAAUAUCCGCAGCUGGUCUCCAAGGUGAAGAGUCUCUAGUCGAUAGAAUAAUGUAGGUAAGGGAAGUCGGCAAAUUAGAUCCGUAACUUCGGGAUAAGGAUUGGCUCUGAAGAUUGAGAUAGUCGGGCUUGAUUGGGAAACAAUAACAUGGUUUAUGUGCUCGUUCUGGGUAAAUAGAGUUUCUAGCAUUUAUGUUAGUUACUUGUUCCCCGGAUAGUUUAGUUACGUAGCCAAUUGUGGAACUUUCUUGCUAAAAUUUUUAAGAAUACUAUUUGGGUUAAACCAAUUAGUUCUUAUUAAUUAUAACGAUUAUCAAUUAACAAUCAAUUCAGAACUGGCACGGACUUGGGGAAUCCGACUGUCUAAUUAAAACAAAGCAUUGUGAUGGCCCUAGCGGGUGUUGACACAAUGUGAUUUCUGCCCAGUGCUCUGAAUGUCAAAGUGAAGAAAUUCAAGUAAGCGCGGGUCAACGGCGGGAGUAACUAUGACUCUCUUAAGGUAGCCAAAUGCCUCGUCAUCUAAUUAGUGACGCGCAUGAAUGGAUUAACGAGAUUCCUACUGUCCCUAUCUACUAUCUAGCGAAACCACAGCCAAGGGAACGGGCUUGGAAUAAUUAGCGGGGAAAGAAGACCCUUUUGAGCUUGACUCUAAUCUGGCAGUGUAAG
Molecule: ribosomal RNA, 3382 nt
Filed under: Drosophila melanogaster (fruit fly)
Lineage: Eukaryota; Metazoa; Arthropoda; Insecta; Diptera; Drosophilidae
Description: eukaryotic LSU rRNA
Rfam family: Eukaryotic large subunit ribosomal RNA (bases 573-3382)
Source: RNAcentral